Hemicordylus capensis (graceful crag lizard) is the source of this 468-nucleotide long non-coding RNA. RefSeq lists it as uncharacterized. The record is from RefSeq and is a predicted model, not a curated record. The transcript has 3 exons. NCBI's taxonomy places the organism in Eukaryota, Metazoa, Chordata, Lepidosauria, Squamata, Cordylidae.
AAUCUUAAUAUGCUUGCAGAAAAUGCUGCUUGAAAUGACAGGAGUGGAGCAAGAGAGGCUGCUUUAUGGGAGAAGAAACUGGAGAGAAAUAAAUGGGAGAGACAGUAAGAGUACAGUAGGUAAGAGGGAUUCUGCCAGUACUGCUAAAAAAAGAAAGAGGAAGAAGAUAGGACAACCAUCUGCUUGCUUCUGAAGUGUAUUUGGGCAGCUCUUCUGGACAGAAGGAAUCUUUAGGAGAUACAAUCAUUAACGUUUCAUUGUAAAAGCCACUAAUUUGAAAACACUGCUCCCUAUCACACAUAAAGCUGGUCUCUUCCCUUAAGGGCAAGAUGGAGUUUUUACACUGAAUUAUUGCUUGAAAUGAAAGGAAAGUACAAAUUAAUUAAUUCAGCUAUUGUAAUCACAUUUUAUAUAUCUAUUUGCCUUCUUUAAUACUAAUUGGUGCAAUUACUGUUUUCUGCCUCUUGU